This 64-nucleotide transfer RNA is filed under the name Baetis sp. PC-2010. RNAcentral describes it as "tRNA-Met". The record is from RNAcentral. Lineage: Eukaryota; Metazoa; Arthropoda; Insecta; Ephemeroptera; Baetidae.
AGAAUAAUAAGCUAAUUAAAGUUAGCAGGUUCAUACCCUGUUUAUGGAUUAAAUCCUUAUUCUA